CUACGGGAGGCUCCAGUGGGGAAUAUUGCACAAUGGAGGAAACUCUGAUGCAGCAACGCCGCGUGGAGGAUGACACUUUUCGGAGCGUAAACUCCUUUUAUAUAGGAAGAAGAUGACGGUACUAUAUGAAUAAGCGCCGGCUAACGUCCGUGCCAGCAGCCGCGGUGAAUACGGAGGGCGCAAGCGUUACUCGGAAUCACUGGGCGUAAAGAGAGUGUAGGCGGAUUAAAAAGUCAGAAGUGAAAUCCUAUAGCUUAACUAUAGAACUGCUUCUGAAACUCUUAAUCUAGAAUAUGGGAGAGGUAGAUGGAAUUUCUGGUGUAGGGGUAAAAUCCGUAGAGAUCAGAAGGAAUACCGAUUGCGAAGGCGACCUACUAGAACAUUAUUGACGCUGAGACGCGAAAGCGUGGGGAGCAAACAGGAUUAGAUACCCCAGUAGUC
RNAcentral lists this ribosomal RNA (441 nucleotides) under uncultured bacterium. RNAcentral describes it as "partial 16S ribosomal RNA". It matches the Rfam family "Bacterial small subunit ribosomal RNA", at positions 339 to 795 of the family's 1533-position model. The record is from RNAcentral.